UGGGGAAUAUUGGACAAUGGGCGAAAGCCUGAUCCAGCAAUGCCGCGUGAGUGAUGAAGGCCUUAGGGUUGUAAAGCUCUUUUACCCGAGAUGAUAAUGACAGUAUCGGGAGAAUAAGCUCCGGCUAACUCCGUGCCAGCAGCCGCGGUAAUACGGAGGGAGCUAGCGUUGUUCGGAAUUACUGGGCGUAAAGAGCGCGCAGGCGGUCGUUCAAGUCGCGUGUGAAAGCCCCCGGCUCAACUGGGGAGGGUCACGCGAUACUGAUCGACUCGAAGGCAGGAGAGGGUAGUGGAAUUCCCGGUGUAGUGGUGAAAUGCGUAGAUAUCGGGAGGAACACCAGUGGCGAAGGCGACUACCUGGCCUGUUCUUGACGCUGAGGCGCGAAAGCUAGGGGAGCAAACGGGAUUAGAUACCCCGGUAGUCCUAGCCGUAAACGAUGGACACUAGGUGUUGGUGGUAUCAACCCCGCCAGUGCCGAAGCUAACGCAUUAAGUGUCCCGCG
This 502-nucleotide ribosomal RNA is filed under the name uncultured Pseudomonadota bacterium. RNAcentral describes it as "bacterial SSU rRNA". It matches the Rfam family "Bacterial small subunit ribosomal RNA", at positions 355 to 873 of the family's 1533-position model. Lineage: Bacteria; Pseudomonadati; Pseudomonadota. The record is from RNAcentral.